Molecule: non-coding RNA, 178 nt
Filed under: Desulfofarcimen acetoxidans
Lineage: Bacteria; Bacillati; Bacillota; Clostridia; Eubacteriales; Peptococcaceae
Also listed under: 1 other name
Source: RNAcentral
AUAUUAUUUUAGGUUUCAGGUGUUCUUUACAAAGGAAGAAUAGGGAACCGGGUGCAAUUCCCGGACGGACCCGCCACUGUGAAGGGGAGCCAGUGCCAUAAACCACUCCGUUAUGGGGGAAGGGGCAUUAAAGGUGAUGAACCUAAGUCAGGAGACCUGCCUGAAAUUAUUCUAUGCU